GUGCUCACUUCAACAGCACAUAUACUAAAAUUGUAAUGAUACAGAGAAGAUUAGCAUGGCCCCUGCACAAGAAUGACAUGUAAAUUCUUGAAGCAUUCCAUAUUUUU
RNAcentral lists this small nuclear RNA (107 nucleotides) under Jaculus jaculus (lesser Egyptian jerboa). The record is from RNAcentral. Lineage: Eukaryota; Metazoa; Chordata; Mammalia; Rodentia; Dipodidae.